CAUUUUCUAAGGAGCUUGAAAUUCCGGGAGGUGUGGAAGAAGACUACUCAAAAUGGCAGCAGGUUUGAAUGUUCACAGAAGCAGCUGUUGUUCUUCCAAACCCAGGGACAACAGAACUGUGGUGUAGUCUUGCUCCCUUGCCGUGGGACCCAGAUGUGGCACAUACCUCCAGACCUCAUACAGAAGUUCCUCUUCUAAGUGAAUAAGAAUGGUCUUCUCACAUAAUGCAGGGAUGGAAGAAGAUACUUGGAAAAAUCAGGGAAGAGUGAAGAAGAUACUUCAAAAAAUCGGGGAAGAUUUUCAUCAUAAGGUCCAAGCAAAGGCAUGAGUAUAAGAUGUGUGUAUGUGAUACAUAAGAUUUACUUCUAAACAA
Pan paniscus (pygmy chimpanzee) is the source of this 373-nucleotide long non-coding RNA. NCBI's taxonomy places the organism in Eukaryota, Metazoa, Chordata, Mammalia, Primates, Hominidae. The record is from Ensembl.